AUGUGAUCGUCUCUCGCAUAUCAAUAAGCGGAGGAAAAGAAACUAACAAGGAUUCCCCUAGUAACGGCGAGUGAAGCGGGAAGAGCUCAAAUUUGAAAUCUUAAAGGGUUUCCCUUUACGAAUUGUAGUUUAAAGAAGUGUUUUCUGUUGAGGUUUUGGUAAAAGUUCUUUGGAAUAGGACAUCAUAGAGGGUGAGAAUCCCGUAUUUGACCUUUACUUUCAACUUUGUGAUACACUUUCAAAGAGUCGGAUUGUUUGGGAAUGCAGUCCAAAAUGGGUGGUAAAUUUCAUCUAAAGCUAAAUAUUGGCGAGAGACCGAUAGCGAACAAGUACCGUGAGGGAAAGAUGAAAAGAACUUUGAAAAGAGAGUUAAACAGUACGUGAAAUUGUCAAAAGGGAAGCGUUUGACACCAGUGUUGUUUUUCUGAAAAUCAAUUAAAGAACUGUUUAUGCUAAGUUGUUUAGACUUUAUCAGCUAUCUGCUUAGUUUUGAGCCUUUUCUUUAAUGCACUUUUCAGUUAACAAGUCAACAUCAAUUUCUUUUGCUGUAAAAAAGCUUGAGGAAGGUGGCUUGAGAUUCGUCUUAAGUGUUUAUAGCCUCUUGCCUAUGCAGUCGGAGAGAUUGAGGUCUGCAGCGUAGAUCCUUCGGGGCUAAAUGCAUUUGUGCUAAGUUAUAGCAUUUUAUAGACAACUUGUUGACUAUGAUUUGUCUUGUAGCUUACUCGCUUAUGUUAUUUUACCUACGCUUAGGAUGUUGAGUAGCGACAUACGCAC
RNAcentral lists this ribosomal RNA (774 nucleotides) under uncultured Neocallimastigales. RNAcentral's name for it is "partial large subunit ribosomal RNA". It matches the Rfam family "Eukaryotic large subunit ribosomal RNA", at positions 24 to 649 of the family's 3401-position model. The record is from RNAcentral. Lineage: Eukaryota; Fungi; Neocallimastigomycota; Neocallimastigomycetes; Neocallimastigales.